This 468-nucleotide ribosomal RNA is filed under the name uncultured bacterium. Its description in RNAcentral is "partial 16S ribosomal RNA". It matches the Rfam family "Bacterial small subunit ribosomal RNA", at positions 28 to 507 of the family's 1533-position model. The record is from RNAcentral.
GACGAACGCUGGCGGCGUGCUUAACACAUGCAAGUCGAACGGAAAGGCCCUGCCUUUGUGGGGUGCUUGAGUGGCGAAUGGGUGAGUAAUACGUGAGUAACCUGCCCUUGACUUUGGGAUAACUUCAGGUAACUGGGGCUAAUAACGGAUAGGAGCUCCUGCUGCUUGGUGGGGGUUGGAUAGUUUCGGCGGUUGGGGAUGGACUCGCGGCUUAUCAGCUUGUUGGUGGGGUAGUGGCUUACCAAGGCUUUGACGGGUAGCCGGCCUGAGAGUGUGACCGGCCACAUUGGGACUGGGAUACGGCCCAGACUCCUACGGGGGGCAGCAGUGGGGAAUAUUGCACAAUGGGCGAAGGCCUAAUGCAGCAACGCCGCGUGCGGAAUGACGGCCUUCGGGUUGUAAACCGCUUUCGCCUGUAACGAAGCGUGAGUGACGGUAAUGGGUAAAGAAGCACCGGCUAACUACGUG